Dromaius novaehollandiae (emu) is the source of this 4977-nucleotide long non-coding RNA. RefSeq lists it as uncharacterized. The transcript has 8 exons. The record is from RefSeq and is a predicted model, not a curated record. NCBI's taxonomy places the organism in Eukaryota, Metazoa, Chordata, Aves, Casuariiformes, Dromaiidae.
UUAGGGGAAUUUUUCGGUGCACCCUGCGGCACGGCAGAGCUGCGCUCCUCCGACCGCGUCGGAGAUUCACACAACGAGUUACCUGCAACUGGCUGUGACAAGAGCCCUGAAAAGCAGCGUUGUAAUGUGAACCACGCAUCUUUAUUACACUGAUGUAACCUCCUCCUGAUCGGACAGCCGUCGCGAAAGCCUGACACCAUCCUCCUGCCGCGGCCCAGCACGGUGGCUGCAGCGCGCGGGACAGGGGUGCCGGUCUGCAGCUCUGCAAGUAGAAACAUGAAGGCAAUGGCGUAAUUCCAAGCCCAUCUACCUUUGGGAAAGCCCCUAGAGUGAAUGCAAAUGAGACGCAGGGCACAGCGAAGCCGAAGAAAGUUUACCAAGUCUAAUCGAGUCCGUAGUCUGCUCGUGCCCGUCUGGACGCCGUUGGCGGGGCCCCGCGCGGAUUCGCAGACCUUUACUGUGACUGUACAUCAGACCAAUUUCCUGAACGUCCUGCUCGGCCCUCUGGGUCUUCCAGAGCCGACUCUGCUGGUGGCUCGGGGAAAGGAGAAGCAGCCGGAUGGCACCAGGAGUCACGCCACCCAAUGACUGUGACGAAGCGCCAUGUGUGAUGAUCCGAGAUGUCCUUAUCUGCAGCUUAUGAAUACUGAGUGAUGUCAGGACAUCUCUGCUGAGCUGAUGGCUCUGUUCCUGAUACACAGCCUUUUCCAUUUUUCGAUGUCUUUUGCCUUCCCUCGCCAAGGAGUCGCAAUAGCACGUAUGGAAGAUGUGCUGCUAGACGGGAGCCGUGCCUGCCCGAGGGAUGGCAAAGCCUUUCCUCCGCGGGGAGCGAGCUGAUGGACGCGGCGUGAGCAGCGCGUGGCAGUGCUAUAAAAGGAUAACUGGUUCAACUGAUGCAUGAUGGGUUUGGGAUCGCCUUUGCACUGGCGCUUUUGGGGAGACACCAGCGUUCUCUAUACAGCUCGUGCUUGUGUUGUUGCUGAGCUUGAGCUCUGCCUUUGCCACCGCGGCUUGGGUUUGGCUUGCUGAGAGCCAUCAGUUGAACGCCAGUGCUCAGGUCCACUGAGUGACACAGAUGGUCUCGGGCCGAAUCCUCAUUUGGAUGCUCGUUAAAAAAAGAAGAGGGGGUGGAUAGCAGCAUCGCAUCCAUUUGUGUUGCCUGCCCGGAUCUCCAGCACCUGUGAGAUGGAGGAAGGGGGAUGAUGGAAAAUGAGCCACCACCACUGUGAGCAGGGAUCAGGCAUGGCUCAGCUGGGAGAGGAGCUGUGGUGGGUUCACGAAAGGAAAGCUUCUGUACCCUGCAGUCCUGUUGUGCUACCCAACGCUUGUACAAAGCCGAGACCGGAGUCCUGCAAGUUGUUAACUUGCGUAAUUUUGUAAGAGAUUUGCAAGCUGCUUAUAGCCCCCCUGCGUGUGACUGCCAUGUCCGUGCAAUGGGAAGGCACCGUGGGGGACAGGGAGCCGGGACGUGGGGCGGAGAGGCAGCACGGCUGCCGUUGCUGCCCUUGGGGCACCAGAGGAGAGGUACGAGAUCUUUCACCUCCUCUUCGUGGAAGGCAAAAAAAAAAAAAAAUCUGGCUUAUACUUGCCAUGCAACUCUCCACUGCUACUAUAACACCAGUGAUCAUCUCCGUGAGCUUCUGAAUGUGAAUUAUGUGCCAUUCUCUUCUUCUGUAGGUGCAAAUAUAAUGUCUUUUAAUGUGUUUCUAAGGUUAAAAAAGAAAGGCCUCUGCACUGAUUUAAUUAUCUGAAAACCUCUUACUCUGAUAUACUUCUACCUUUUGUGGAGCAACUAACUGUCAUUUAGCUUGAUUUAACUAAUUUACUCAUAUCAAUUAAUUGGAUAAUGAGUCACAGGCAAGUUUUAGGUAUCUCACAACUAUUAUCCUCAUUUCAUCGUUUAUUGUUAGAGAAAAUAUAACAUUUCCCCAAGUACUCUGAAAGCAUAUGCCUAUUUUAAUAAACGGAAAUUGUCAUAAUUAUAUUGGUCCUCACUGUUCUAUAUUGUCCUCAAGUCAACUGUUAAAUUGUUCUCAAAUUUCCAUUCAAACCACAGAAGGACACUCUCAUGUCUAAAAAUGGUGAGGCCACUUUCAAUGCCUGAACAUUUGAACAUAUUGCUUAAACUGUGUAGCUCGCAAUUGUGGUCCUGUGGGUGUUUAUAUUUGGUAGAUAUUUUUAAGGUUAAUCAUGAGCCUAAUUUGUUGUCAUUUUAUUCCUAGAUCUAAUAGACAAGAGUAAAGUCAGAUUCAUGAUAUGUUGUGCACUACUAGGGAUGGCUGGCUGAGUCCUUUUUGUGGCUUUGUAAAGCGUUUAUAAAAUGCCCUAAAAUACUUUGAGAUAAAAGGUGCUACAGCGACUAAUGGGAACAUUAAGCAAUAUGCCUUCCUAAAACAGACCUUAUCCACUGCUUAAAAAAUAAAGAACUUACUUUGCCAAGAUAUUAAACAUUUAACAGCCUUAAAAAUAUAUUUUUAAGAAUUGAAUGGCUCAUUCCCCUAACUAAAGAGGCCUUUAGAGGAAUUUUUGGAAGGUACUAAUUUUUCUGUUUUAUGCAAUGGUAAAAUUCUUUGGGUUUCUAUAUAUGUGGAUAAUAACACCAAAACGUGUUUAAAAUUCACUUCAUUAAGCAGUCAAUGAACUUUUCUGGUAAGUCCGGUACUUGCAGUUUUAUUUUUGUGUGAAUUAUUGUUUGGCUUAUACCUGCCUUCUAGUUUUAUGCUUUCAGCUCUGUGUAUUAGUGAGUUUAGUCAUAUCUAAGCCCUACGGAUUUUGGCAGCAGGCUCUGACUUUUAGCAGCAGUCCGGGGCCCCAGGACUUCCCACAGUUUGGACCUCCCGGGCUCCCGAAACACGAGUCCUUUGCGCCUCGGACGUGAGCCACCUGCACGCAGAUGCUGUCGUGUUGGCGCGUGAGCGAUGCCCCCUGCGAUCACCUUUCAGGAGCCUGGAGUUUAUCAGACGCGUUGUGCAGCAGUGCUGGAUCUAUUACUAUUGGAUCUGUCCACAUGAACAGGUCUGGUUUUGAAUGUACAGUUAAUAUGGUUUAAUAUAUGUUUAAUUACUUUAAGCCUGCAUCUAAGAAUAUUUUUCAGAUUUGUAUUACUGUUACAUAUUUCAAAGCAUACCAGUCAUACAAGUUCUUUUUGGGGAAAGUGUCACAGUCAGUAAUUUUACAUUAGAGCUACACUGGACUUUGGAAUUAAGGGUGCAAGUUAUGAUGUUUUAGUGUGCAUUUCCCCACAAUCAGUAUUUUCACUUUUGAGCGGGUUAAUGAAACUCUCUAAAGCUGUAGUUUGUGAUGGCCUGCAGCACAUUACUGAGGGCUCAUUAUCUUGUCAAAGCUCAUAAAAUACAGCCACCGCAGGAGUGAUGUUGUUACUCACUGAGUUAAUACAGGGUGAGUCUUUUCACGUGGCACCAGGAGGAGAAACGUGGCAGCAGGUACAGCCGGGGAUGAAGCGCGGGACCCUGCGAGACUCUACCCACAGAAAAGGUUCUAAAUUUGUUUUGGACAAAUUGGAUUUGAUGCUCUUCAGUUUUCCUUCUGAAAACUCUCGUGUGACUUUAUUGUCAGCUGAAGUGUUUAUUGACUGAGAAGUGCUUGCGUUUUAGCGAUGGAGACGGUGAUCCUGGUAAACACUCGGAGGCCUUCAUGGUGCAACGUGCCGUGUAAGUGUUUGUGUCGUUCUAUGAUGGAGUGGGCAGACACUUGUUUAAAUGAAAAGUAGAAGAAAAAGCCCACAGUCUGAGCAGCCAUUAGGUUCAUUAAAGCUAGUAUGAAGAUGGGAGUUAAAUGAUUUGUGGCUAUAUACAAAUGUCUUAAAGUAGAAAAGUAACGUGGGAUCCAAUGCCAUUAUUACUGGGAAAAGUGCCAGUGUUCUCAUUAUUUUUAAUGACUUCCAAACUGGGCCCUUAGCAACUGAUGAACUAAGCAAUUUGAGAUGGGAAAUGUGGCUCCUUCAAUUCUGAAAGGUGCAGGAUACCCUCAAUUUCUAGGGGCCCUGACAAUGCUCAGGAGGUUGCAAGGGGCAGCAAAGUGUAGGUUAAUGCCUAACAUGGUGGCAGCUUUAGAAAGGGGGAAGAAAAAAGGAAAGUUUGUACUAGGUCGUUUUGUUUUGUUUUCCUUUUUUUAAUAAAAUAGAACAAUCUAACUGAUAAAAAAAUUGGAUGUGACACCGCAGCUCCUGAACAAACAUCCAUCACUGCGGAAAGAUAGGCGUUGAAGAAUAUGUCUGCAGCUCUUCGGAUUUUAUCCCAAUAUUAAUAAACAAAACCCCAAACCCACUUCAGUAACUGUUUCUGUUUAUUAAAAAAGAUAAAUAUCUCAUGAAGAUCUGGAAGUCAUUAAUAAUGAAGUGACGAGUGUGCGAAGAGCUCACCUUGGAGAGGAGGCAGCCGCCUGUUGCAGCACCCCGACGGUUCCCUUCUUGCACUGUUAAGUGUGUUUGGGAAUCUACCUCCCUUGGAAAGCUGACCAAAACUGAUUUUAUUCCCUAACAGGGAGACAGCGCCCGUGUGUUGCCCUGUGUAGGGCAACACACUUGUGGCAAGCGACUUGUUCACGGAGAGCCCAGGGCAGGAGCCUGUUUUGGAAACCCGCCGUGCACCCGGGGCGGUGGCCGGUCCCUCGGGUCCUGCGCGAGGUGCCCGCCGGCUGCAUCACCAAGAGCACAGCAGCUGGGGGCCCUGCGGUUGUGGUCACCAUCGAGCCAACGCAGCAACGGGGUCCGGAUCCCGCGGUGGUUGUCCCGGGCUGGUCCGGCCACGUGGCGCUGGGGACAUCGCUCUUCACCCCCAGGAAAAGGGGGGAAACGCUCGUGGCCUUUUUUCACUUCCAAACGUGAAUUUAACUGGUCCGUGCAGCUGAGCCGCAUGAGGGGAGAGGUAAGAUUAGCACCAAUUUAACAGCACUCUACAUUUUCGCUACCCUCAAGUAUAAGUUACUCUGGAUAUGCAGUAAUAGCCAUAAUUAAAA